This is a non-coding RNA of Rhodocollybia butyracea, 111 nucleotides long. Lineage: Eukaryota; Fungi; Basidiomycota; Agaricomycetes; Agaricales; Omphalotaceae. The record is from the annotation of a GenBank genome assembly.
UCCUUCUUAGCUCAAUUGGUAGAGCGUGUCACUACGCUUAGUUCUGGUUCCUGAAAAUAGAAAUGCUGUCUUAGUAUGACAAGGUUAGCCGUUCAAAUCGGCUAGAAGGAG